CUAACACUCUAAAAAGAAGUAGUUCGACUUUAGUUCAAGUAUUUUGGAUGUGUAUAUAAUUUAACACACACACACAUACACAUCAUAUCAGAGAGAGAGAGAUGAGUUCAAUGGGGUGGUCUUUUCAGGCAUAUUUGAUGAACCUCAUCCUCAUAUCAGUUAUCAUCAACCCUCUUGUGCUUGGUUGCUACAAUUCAAUCAUCGGCUUUGGAGAUUCAAUUACUGAUACAGGCAACUUAUACAACAGCGAUCCUAACAGAUCUCUCAACUUCUUCCACCCGCCAUAUGGAGAGACCUACUUUCAUCAUCCCACGGGACGAUGCUCGGAUGGUCGUUUGGUCAUAGACUUCAUUGGUACUCAUUCACUUAUAUGUAUAUAUCUGACUUUUUUCAUCAGCUUUUCAUGUAACUUUCACUUCAUUUUUUGCAGCUGAGUUUCUGGGACUUCCACUAGUACCACCUUAUCUUGAAAGCCAGAGCAGUAAUCAAAGUGUCCAGAACUUUGAAGCGGGUGUGAAUUUUGCAGUAGCAGGAGCCACGGCGUUAGAUGCUGCCUUUCUUGAAGAAAUGGGGGAUUCUGUUUCAUGUACCAACGACUCUCUAAGCAUUCAACUGGAGUGGUUCAAACAAAUGCUGCCAUCUCUAUGCAACACAUCUUCAGGUAAUUAGUUCCCAAUUUUGUUUUCUCAUUAUAUUUUUGUGUUUCCUUUACUUGAAAUUAUUUCCUGUCCACUUGCUUAUGUGGUUGGCUACACUUUCAAUGCCUCCACCAAACCUAGAUGAUAACUUUAAUAAUUGGACUUGGCGGACCAGAAUUGACUUGGUUGAUUGAUCUGUUAUUUGAUUUUUAUUUCUGAAUAAUUACAGACUGCAACAAAGUCCUUUCAACUUCUCUAAUUCUAAUGGGAGAGAUUGGAGGCAACGAUUACAACGAUGCAUUGCUUGCAGGAAAAAGUAUAGAAAAGGUUCAAGCGUAUGUACCAUUAGUGAUAGAAACAAUUGCUUCAACCAUCAAUGUAAGAGUUGGAACCAUAGUCGCUACUAGGGGUAGUCUGCUUUCUUCAAUGUUGGCUAUGAAUUACAGGCUUGCCUAAUUUCCUAUGGCUGCAUGGUCUGCAGGAGUUAAUCGAGCUCGGGGCGGCAACACUUUUGGUACCAGGCAACUUUCCAAUUGGUUGCCUUCCUGCUUAUCUAACAAAAUAUGAGAGUUCAGAUAAGAACCAAUAUGACCCUUCAACUGGCUGUCUAAACUGGUUAAACAAGUUUUCUGGGUAUCACAAUGAUCAGCUUCAGAUAGCACUAAGUCGGAUUCGAAGGCUUCAUCCUCAGGUCACUAUCAUUUAUGCAGAUUAUUACAAUGCCAUGCUGCAAUUAUAUCAGUCUCCGGACCAAUUUGGUACUUGUCUACCUACCUAUUUCACAAUUUAUGAUAAAUAAAUAAAAAAGAGUAAUACUAAUAAUAAUGAAGAUUAAUGUGAUUGCAGGAUUUAUUGGGGAGACUAGCAAAGCAUGCUGUGGAGGAGGAGGGCCAUACAACUACAACGCAUCCGCACUAUGCGGGGAUGCAGGGGCAAGUGCUUGUGAGAACCCUGCACAGUUUAUCAGCUGGGAUGGCCUGCACUCCACUGAAGCAGCACACAGGUGGAUAACCAAGGCUAUAUUACAAGGAAAUUACACCGUUCCACGCGUUUCCACUUUGUGUGAUUCACCAGUGUGACUGAGACAGACACCAAUAGCUAACUACUCAAAAAAAAUUAUUUAGAGCAUCCACAAUAAUGCUCCUUAUCUUCCUAGUUAAAAUUUAGUUAAAAACACUAAAAAACUACUCUAGGAGCUCCUUAUAAAAUUUCAACUCCAACAAUCCUCUCUAGGGGAAUCAUAAAUGAUUUAUAUCUUUUUUUAGUUUAGCAUAAAUGUUCAUUCUUCAUAUAAAACAAUAAUAAUAAAUACUUAACAUUAAAUAAAUACUUAAAAUAGCAUUAAAGUAAAGCAGUAUUUAAUUAUGGAGAACCACUAAAAUUUUUUUCUCUCUCUUCAUAGUUAGAGAAACUCCAGCAUAAGCCCAAACUCGGGCAAAUGAUAGCCCUAGGCCCCAAACCCUUCCUCCAGGGCGGAAGGUUCAACCCGGGCAAGAAUUUUCUAGAUUGUUGCCUGAAGGCUGCUGACGUUAGCCAUUGAUUUUCAAAUUUUUUUUUAUUGUUGGCACAUGGAUUACACGCACCAAUAGUACAAAAAAAUUUGAAAAUCAGCGGUUGACCCAUAGCUGCCAGAAACCAAUGGCUACAAGCCAUAUGGCUUCUCUGGAGCCUCCGAUCCAAAAAUCUUAUCCAAUCCAACGGCUCCCUAAUUUUUGGCUUAAAAAAAUUGAAAACAAAAGUAAAAAAUAUCAAAAAUUUUGGAAAUUUUUUCUAUAAAUACCUACCAAUAUUAUUUACUUUCCACACCAAAUCUUCAUACAAAUUCAUCUCCUUCCAAUAUUUUUCACUUUACAAACUAAAUUUUCUACUACAAAAUGGUCUCUUCCAUCAAAGUCGGAGUGUCCUGGACAAAUGUUUGAAUAGGUCAAAGUCUUGGCGACGAGGUAAAAAAAAAUAAAAUUUGCCGUUUUAUUCAAUUUAAUGUCAUUUUUUAAUUUAUAUUUAUUGCAUUUUCAAUUUUAUUUUUUAAUAGAUUAUUCAAGGCAAAAUAAAAAAGAGGAAAACCAUUACACACGGCUCCUUAGGUGAACAAUGGCCGCAAUCGAUUCUAAUGGUGCGUUCCAUGUCGGAAAUAAUGGCACUAUUACGUCAUCCGAAGGAAAAUACACCCCCACGUCGUGAUCUAGUGGGAUCGCCUCCGCCAAUGAUUGAGUCGUUCUUGUAUUCGAUUGUGUCAAGCUAUAAGGACUGGGAGUAUUUCAAUUGUAUGUUGAGUGAGUAAGUAUUUCAAUUGUAUGAUGAGUGAGAUGUGAAUUUUAUAAUAAAUAUGGAUACGUGGCAACUGAAAAUCUUAUCCGAAAAUUUAAUCCGAAAAUCUUAUCAGAAAAUUUUAUCUGGAAUUUGAGAUGAGAAUUUUAUAAUAAAUAGUGACACGUGGCAACCGAAAAUCUUAUCAAAAUUAAUGGUUUAAGUAUAAAAAAAAUAGAAAAUAAAUUAAAGUGAAUAGUGUUUGUCAUUGCCCUUGCUCAUUGAGGUGAAAUCAAAAAAGACAAGGCUGCUGCUAUUCACAUGAGUAGUGACAAACCUUGCCUUGCCUUUCCCUUGCCCUUGCCCUUUUGGGUGGAGGUGCUCUUAGGAGCUCCUAGAGAUGCAGUUAUUUUAGGAGUAGAAUAGAGAGCAUGGUUGGAGGUGGGUUUUCUCACUUCCUCUCUAAAUUUUAUAUAAAGAGGUGGUUUUACCAUUUAAUAUUAUAAACAAUAAGUCAAUGAGGUCUAGCCCAAUGAAAAAGGUCUAGCCCAAUCAAAAAACAGUAAUAUCUAGUACUGUUUCUUUCGUAAACGUUGUUCUCUUGCUCACGAUAAAGAUUAUGAAAAGCACACAACUUUGAACAUCCCUAAUUGCUUUUAGAGCGCCUAUGAACUAAAUUAGAGCAUCCAUGUCUUAAAUCAAAGUCUCCAAGCAGUGUAGAUUCUCAAUGCACAAAAUUAAAGCCAACCACCAAAUUAGUUAUAGUCUCCAAACAUUAAAUUAGAGCAUCCAUAUACAAAAUUUGAGCCUCCAAGAACAAAACUAAAAUCUUCAUGUCCCGAAUUAAAGUAUCCAAGCAUUGAAUUAAAGACUCUAAGACUCAUAUCUGCAUUUGUGGCUUUGUAGCUCAAUGAUCAAUGUUGACCACUUGAUGGAUCGUUUGAGAAUGAUGCAUAUUGCUAGCCCAACCCUUCAAAUUCCUUUUCAUGGCUCCUCUUAACCUUGAUCUCCUUGUGGAGGCAUUGGCAUAGCGAAUUCUUUUGAGCGGGGUUGGAUCUUGUUUUUAGGGUUUCUGCAAUUUGGGGUUUUUUUUCAUGUUGUUUUGAGCUUUAGACUUUCCUUUUGUUAUGGUUGCCCUUGUUAUUUCUUCUAACCCCAAAAAAAAAAAAAAAAAAAAAGAGCGUGGAUGCUUCAAAUUAGAGAGUGGAAGCUGCAAUUUUUAUAUUGAAGGCUUUAACUUUUGACACUGAGGCUUGUGGUGUAGUAAGCAAAUAGAGGGGUAUGCGAAGAAUUCCAAGUUUAGUGGGAAGGUAGUUGUCUGGUGUGCAAUAGGGGUAGACCUGUAAACGGGUCGGAUUCGAAUCAGAUAUAUCUCAAUUUAAAUUUGAAUUCAUUUAUAAUCAGAUUAUCGAAUUUGGACUUUUGGAUUUCUUAAGAAGAGUUGUAUCUCUUGACUAUAUGAGAAGUUGUAUCUUUUAGAUAUCAAAAGUUAUAUCUAAAAGAUAUAACUUCUCAUAUAGUCUCAGAAAGUUAAUAAAAUCAGUUUAUCUAAAUGUAAUUAUAAAUAGCGAAUGUUAGGCUGAUGUUGUAUUGCAGAAAAUUAAUAAAAUCAGUUUAUUUUGGAUGGGAGAGGGAGAGGGGGAGCGAUAGAGAAAGAGGGAGAGGGAGAGGGAGAGGGAGAUGUAGAAGAAGAGAUAGCUCAGGUGCGCAAAAAUAAAAAUUAGGUGGGACGAAUAGAAAAAAGAAGUAGGUGCUUUUGAUAUUUUAUUUAUGGGGCAGUACACUUCCAAGUUACAACACACGCCAGCCAGACGAUUUUUCAUAUAUCUCACUCAUAUCUGUUUAUGAAUCUUCUUUGUUGGCAUGAAAUUGUUUCCUUAUUUUUAUAAGCUCCUCACAUCACCACAAUCCCAAUAUAUUCACAAUAGCAGGUGUAGAUUUCUGAACCCACGUUCACCUAGUGGUGCUUAUAAAAUGGAGAAUUACAAAAAUAGAUGCACGGAGGUCAGAGGACUGAGACAGGCUGUGAGAUCUCCAUAUGCAUGGGCUUUAUUUAACAAGCUUUAAUAUUUUAUUCGUACUUUUGAGUACACCUACUGGUUUGGUUUGGUUUGAUUUGAUUUGGUUUAACUGAUGGUUUUCAAUAUCAAGCACUCAACACCGAAUCAUAGACAUCAGUUUGGUUUGAUUUCAAAUCGAUAACCAAUAAAUAAAUAUAUAUAUAUAUAUAUAUAUAUAUGCUAGGCUGUUUGACCAGGUUUUCGGUGUGUAUGCCCAGCCCUAGUUGGUGUAAUGGAUCCUGUUUUCGCACACUAGAUUAGGCAUAUUUGAAGUGUUAAAGAUGCAGAGUUUGGAAAUGCUGAAAAUACGAUAAAACCUUUUGAUUCAUGUCCUCAUUGCAGGAUUUAUCGGGUGAACUCCAAAAGCAUGAUGUGGAGGAGGAAGGCCAUACAAUUACAACUCAUCAGCAUAAUGUGGUUCUGCACAGGCAAGUGCCUGUGACAUGACAACCAUCGGCAGUUUUUCAGCUGGGAUAACCAGUGCUUUGUUAAAAGGAAAUUACACCAUUCCCCCAAUUAGUACCUAGUGUGUGACCUCUGUUAUUCCAACAACUACCAACCGGUCUACACAAAUGGCAAAGAUUUCCAGUGAAUAUUAUCUACACAUAUCCUAUGUAGAUUCUGCUUAUGGCACACAUUUAAUGGUGUCCACUGUACCUAACAUUCUAAAAAGUAGUUCGACUUUCGUUCAAAUAUUUUUGGAUGUGUAUAAAAUUGAGAGAGAGAGAGAGAGAGAGAGAGAUGAGUUCAAUAGGGUGGUCUUUUCAGGCAUAUUUGAUGAACCUCAUCCUCGUAUCAGUUUUCAUCAUCCCGCAGUACUUGGUUGCUUCAAUUCGGUCAUCAGCUUUGGAGAUUCACUUACUGAUACAGGCAACUUAUACGACAGCUCCCCUAACAGAUCUCUCCACUACUUCCAACCGCCAUAUGGGGAGACCUAUUUUCAUCAUCCCACGGGACGAUGCUCGGAUGGUCGUUUAAUCAUAGACUUCAUUGGUACGUACGCGUAUAUCCACUUAUAUGUAUAUCUAUAUAUCUGACUUUUUUCAUCUUCUCAUUUAACUUUCACUUCAUUUUUGCAGCUCAGUUUCUGGGGCUUCCUUUUGUACCACCUUUUCUUCAAAACCUGAACAGUAAUCAAAGUGUCCAAAACUUUGAAGCGGGUGUGAAUUUUGCAGUAAUAGGAGCCACGGGGCUCGAUGCAUCCUUUCUUGCAACAAUGGAAAUUCAUAGUCCAAGUACCAACAACUUUCUCAGAAUUCAACUGGAGUGGUUCAAACAAAUGCUGCCAUCUUUAUGCAACACAUCUUUAGGUAAUGAUAUCACUACAGAAAAAAGAAGUCAUUUGCGGCAAAUUUUUUCCAAGGAAAAAAUACCAUUUCCAAGAGCAAAACACCCUCCAUCAUCAAUAAUGCAACAAUAUGCUUACUAUUUUCAACACCCAAAAUGCCCUUGGAUAAGGGUUCUCUCGCCAUCGGAAAUAGCUAAUUUCUGACCGGAAAUAUUUGUGCCACAUUUGUUUGCAAUGAAACUUGUGCGCGUCGGUAAUUGUUGUGUUUGCCGAGGGCAUCUUCAUGUUUUCAGAAAUUAUAGCCUAUUUUUUAGGGCAGAAAAUAGUCGUCGGUAGUAAAUUCUCUAUUUUUUAGGGUAAUUAGUUGUUAAAAGUGAUUAUGUACUUCCGUGAGCAAUCAUUAGUUUACGCAAAAGGGUGUCUAUUUGUGAGGGUGUAUAAGAGCAACUCCACCCCUUAGGGCAAAGUCUAAGGCAAGGGCAAGCUAGGGCAAGCAAGGGCUGACACUAUUCACGUGAAUAGUGUCAGCCUUGCCAUUUGUGGUUCCACCCACAAGGGCAAAGUCUAGGGCAAGUCUAGGGCAAUUACUAUUCAUUGUACUUUAUUUCCUAUUUUUUUAUACUUUAAAUCAUUAAUUUUGAUAAUCUUUUUAAUUAAAUUUUCGGAUAAGAUUUUCGGAUGUGAAUCUCGGUUGCCACGUGUCUUAUUCCAGAUAAAAAGAUUUGGUGUGGAAAAUGAAUUAUGUGAGCGGAGAGUAGAAAAUAUUGUAUGGAGAAGAAAUUGUAUGAAGAUUUGGUGUUGAAAGUAGAUAAAAUGGUUAGGUAUUUAUAGGGAAAAAAUACAUACAUUUUUGGUAUUUUUUUAAAAAAAAUUUCAGAAUUUUUUCGAAUUUUUUUGGAUUUUUUAAAAUUUUUUUGGCCAAAAAAAUGAGAACCGUAGGAUUUCUGAAAAAAAUCCAAUCGGAGCCACCGGUGACGACACGUGGCAGUAGCCGUUGGAGCUGACAUCAUCGAUGACGUCACGAUGACGUCAGCGCACUUCAGUCAAAUUUUUUUUACCGUUGGCGCGUGUAACAGUAAAAAAAUUUGAUUUUAGUGCACUGACGUCAUCGCUGACGUCAGCUCAACUCGGGCUCGAGCCCAGUCUGAUUUCGCCCUUGGGCCUGCCCGGGCUCGUGGGACCCGCAGCUUGCCCGGGCUGGAUUGCUUGCGCUGGAGCUGGACUCGGGCUCCUUUUUGCCUUUUGCCUGGGCCAGCCUCUACCGCUGGACUUGCUCUAAUUGCUGUCGGAAAUAGAUAUCUAUUACUGAUGGCAUAUAUUUGCUCUCAGAAAAAAAGUUUAAUGCUACAUUUUUUCACCAUAGAAAUUUUUUUUUCUUUUAAUUUAAAAAAGUCUAAUAUUGUUGUUGUUGUUAAUAGUGUUCCUUUGCAAUACAUUUGUGAAUAUACUAAAGUAAUAUGUGGGCACACUUCACAAUAUGGAAAGAGAACAUUACUUUAUAUAUAGAUAUCAACUCACACAUUAUUUCCUUGAAAUUGUUUCCUGUCCGCUUGUAUUAUUUCUUUGAAGUUGUUUUCUGUCCGCUUGUAUUACUUCCUUGAAAAAGUAUAGAACUGGUUCGAUCAUAUUUACCAUUAGUGAUAGAAGCAAUUGCUUCAACCAUCAAUGUAAGACUUGGGGAAUCAUAAUUGCUGCUUGCUAAGGUAGUCUUUUUUUCUGUUUGCAAUGUUGGCUAUGAACUUAAUUUUCUAUGGCUGCAUGGUUUGCAGGAGUUAAUCGAGCUCGGGGCAGCAACAAUUUUGGUACCAGGCAACAAUCCAAUUGGUUGCCUUCCUACUUAUCUAUUAAAAUUUGAGACUUCAGAUAAGAACCAAUAUGACCCUUCGACUGGCUGCCUAAAAUGGUUAAACGAGUUUGCUCAGUACCACAAUGAGCAGGUCACUAUCGUUUAUGCAGAUUAUUACAAUGCCCUGCUGCAAUUAUAUCAAUCUCCACACCAGUUUGGUACUUCUUCUUCAACCCCUUUAAUAUUUCUAUAUCUACCUAUUUCACAAUUUAUGAUAAAUAAUAAUAAUUCCAGGAUUUACUGGGUAGACUAGCAAAGCAUGCUGUGGAGGAGGAGGGCCAUACAACUUCAACUCAUCCCUACAAUGUGGGAAUGCAGGGGCAACUGUUUGUGAGAACCCUUCACAGUUUAUCAACUGGGAUGGCAUGCACUCUACUGAAGCAGCAUACAGGUUGAUGACCAAGGCUUUUUUUUUUUUGACGAAAAAAGGGGGCAAAAAACCCCAGAAGACAACCUACACCAGCAAAUCAGUAGGAACUAGCCUAGAUCUAGUAAUUCCUAACAAAUCAUCAAUCAAACUAGGCCCAAUCCAAGCUGGAGCAUCAACAAAAAUAUAAAAACCCAGGUCUAAGUUAUAGCUCCAGGUCGCCAAGCAAUCAACAACACUGUUUUUCUCUCUGUAAACGUGAUAAACACUGCAGCAGUUGAUCUUAUGCAUCAGCUCCCAGCAACUAGCAACUAAGGCAGCAAGAGGAUGAACAUCAGUAAGGCCCUGCUUCUGGAUCAACUGGACAGCAAGUGCUGAAUCCAUUUCAACAACAAGGUUAUUAAUCUCUUUGUCCAUAGCAAGCUUCAACCCAAAAAAUAAUCCCCAUAUUUCUGCCUCAAGAAUUUGCCCCUUCCCCAAGUUCACAGCAAAGCCACUGAUCCAAUCUCCAGAGGAAUUUCUAAUAACACCUCCAGCACCAAUAUGACCAGAGCCAUUCCUCCUAGACCCAUCAACAUUUAACUUGAACUGGCCAGACAUAGGAGGUUCCCACUUUAGAUCAACCUGGACGUUAUGAUUAUGCUUACUCAAGACAUGAGAAGCCUUAAACCACUCAUGGACAGCACGAACAAUAAGCUGUUUAGGAUCAGAAGACACAUCUUCAUCCCCUUGGAAAACUUGGUGAUUUCUCCAUUUCCACACAUACCAACAAGUAAAGAUGAACACCAGACUCCAGGGGAUAUUACUACACCAAAUAGCCUGGGAGAGAAGAUUAGUCUGAAACCAAGGCAGAAAAUCCAUUUGAAAGAAAUGGCCCUGAUGACGAGGCAUUAAAACAGUAUUCCAUAUAUCUCUAGCCUUAUAGCAAUCACGAAGAAUAUGUAAUGUAGUUUCAAUAGGCCACUCACAAACACCACAAGAAGCAUCAAGAGUCAACUGUCUUCUAACUCUUUGCUCAUUGGACAUAAUUUUACCUUACGCAGUAAGCCAAGCAAAGAUCUUCAAUUUAGGAGGUAUCUUUAGUUUCCACAAAGAACUGAAACUAUAAUCAGGCCAUGAGGGACCCUUAAAGAACAUAUUGUAAGCGGUUUUAACAGAGAAAACUCCAUUGGCAGUUCCUUUCCAAAUCUGGCAAUCCUGCAAAUUACUAGCAAAACCCACAGGAUAAUUAACAACAUGUUGAACAAGAUCUUCUGUUAAAGCUCUUCGUAAUUUAUCCAGAUCCCACCACUCAUCUUUAAAAAAAUUGGAGACAGAGCAAUCUAUAUCCUCAAUAUGCAAGACCCCAUCAUGCUUCAACAAAGGCUCAUCAAUAAGCCAACUGUCUUUCCAAAAUUUAGUAGUAUCCCCCUUACCAACCCUCCAACCUAUACCUUGCCUUAACAACUCCACCCCAUACAUAACACCCUUCCAAGUGGUAGAGCAAUCCUUUCGAAACAUCAAAGAAGAAUCUAAGACAGAUUUCCCUUUAAGAUAUUUAGACUCAUAGAUCUUAGCCCAUAAGCCCUAGUCGUUUUUAUGUAAUCUCCACCCAAUUUUAGCCAAAAGGGCCUUAUUCAUGGCAGUAGUUUUUUUAAAACCUAAACCCCCCUUGUGCUUAGGACGACAAGCUAAAUCCCAUUGAUAGAGGUGGAUCUUAAGCUUUUUCUCACUGCCACCCCAAAAGAAGUUACGAUUUAAUUUGUCUAGCUCUUGCCCAACACUAACAGGCAACUUGGAGGUCUGCAUAGCAUAGAUUGGAACAGCAAAAGUGACAGCUUGUAUAAGAGUUGCUCUACCAGCCAGAGAAAGAAACUUUGACUUCCAAGAAGCAAGCCGCUUAUGCACUUUAUCAAUUAAACAGCCAUAGGUGAAUUUAGUAAUUCUAGAAUGCAACAUAGGCAUGCCCAGAUACUUACCAAGGUCCUCAGUAAGAGGGGAGCCACAAAUCAAACUUAUGAUGACCAAGGCUUUACUACAAGGAAAUUACACCUUUCCACGCCUUGCCUCCUUGUGUGUUUCACAAAUGUGACUCAGAGACAAGAGAAUACUUGUGUGCAACGGACUCAAGAGACAGUUACCAAUAGCUAGCUACUGAAAAAGUCCUAUCUAUUUUUGGUUUUACCAUUUAAUAUUUCAAAUAAUAAGCUUUUGACUAGUAGACUAGUGUUCUUAAGUUCUUAAGCUUUUGGUUGAAUGCAAACCAUGCAGCACCCCUAUUCAUUCCAAGACACAACUUUCCUCCUUGGAUGGUGAGCCAUUAUCCGAUUCUACUGAGUAUCGUCGCUUGGUUGGUUCUCUUCAAUACCUCACACUUACUCGCCCCGACAUUUCCUUUGCAGUUCAACAUGUCGCACCAUUCAUGAGUAUCCCAUGCACUUCUCACCUUGCUGCUGCUAAGCGUAUUUUGCACUAUCUAAAAGGCACCUUACAACUUGGCCUUGUGUUUCGAUCCUCUUCUAGUCCUCUUGCACUUCAUGCCUAUUCUGAUGUUGAUUGGGCUGGGUGUCCUGACACUAGGUGUUCUACUUCAGGUUAUUGUAUUUUCCUCGGUCCGAAUCUCAUUUCUUGGAGUGCCAAGAAACAGCCUACUGUUUCUCGAUCUAGUGUUGAGUCUGAAUACCAUUCUCUAGUUAGGGUCAGUGCAGAGAUUGUUUGGAUUUCAAAUGUGCUUCAUGAACUGCAUGUACCAGUUUCAAGGCCAAUUACACUCUACUGUGAUAAUCUUAGUGCUACCUAUAUGGCCUCAAAUCCGGUGUUUCAUGCUCGCACAAAACACAUUGAAUUGGAUUAUCACUUUGUUCGUGAGCUUGUUCUUUUCGGCAGCCAUCGUGUUCAGUUUGUCUCAUCUAUUGAUCAAACUGCAGAUCUCUUCACCAAAGGCCUUCUUAAGCAACGUUUUCAUCUCCUUCGUUCCAAACUCGUCUAUCAAAGACCGCCGAGUUUGCGGGGGAAUGUUAAAGAAUUAUAAUGUCAACGGUUGACCUGAUUACUUUCCAUAUCAAUUUAUAUUUCCUGUAUCAAUUGCAUAUAUUAUGAUUGCUGUCACAAGCUAUAGUGUAGGCAUAGAUUUAUUCUUUCCAUUCUUACACUGUUGUAAAGCCUUUAAAUACUUUCUCUGAGAUUCAAUACAAUCAUCGAAUUCACAAAACUUUACACUUCAGAAUGCCAUAUGCCCUCUGAAACUCUUCUACAUAUCAGUGUCGUUGGAGACCCGUCUCUUGUUGGACCUUAAACCAAGAGGUGGCCGCCAUAUGAUUUAUAUGUCUAUGAGGAUGAGGAGGAGGAGGUUCAUCAAAUAUGCUUGAAAAGGCCACCACAUUGAACUCAUCUCUCUGUCUCUCUCUCUCACUGAUGACAUGUGCUUAGUUGCUUCAAUUCAGUCGUCAGCUUUGGAGAUUCACUUACUGAUAGGUAUUUUGGAUGUGUGUAUAAUUUAACACACACACAUACACACCAUAUCAGAGAGAGAGAGAGAGAGAGAGAUGAGUUCAAUGGGGUGGUCUUUUCGGGCAUAUUUAUAAGUGGAUGACCAAUGCUUUGUUAAAAGGAAAAUACACCAUUCCCCCAAUAGGCACCUUGUGUGUUUCAGAAGUGUGACCUCUUAUUCCAACAACUACCAGCCGGUCUGCACAAAUUACAAAGAUUUCCAGUGUGUAGGUAGAUUCUGCUUAUGGCGCACAUUUAGUGGUGUACACUGUACCUAACAUUCUAAAGAGAAGUAGUUCGACUUUAGUUCAAGUAUUUUGGAUGUGUGUAUAAUUUAACACACACACAUACACACCAUAUCAGAGAGAGAGAGAGAGAGAGAUGAGUUCAAUGGGGUGGUCUUUUCAGGCAUAUUUAUAGGUGGAUGACCAAUGCUUUGUUAAAAGGAAAAUACACCAUUCCCCCAAUAGGCACCUUGUGUGUUUCAGAAGUGUGACCUCUUAUUCCAACAACGACCAACCGGUCUGCACAAAUUGCAAAGAUUUCCAGUAUGUAGGUAGAUUCUGCUUAUGGCGCACAUUUAGUGGUGUACACUGUACCUAACAUUCUAAAAAGAAGUAGUUCGACUUUAGUUCAAGUAUUUUGUAUGUGUAUAUAAUUUAACACACACACAUACACACCAUAUCAGAGAGAGAGAGAGAGAGAGAGAUGAGUUCAAUGGGGUGGUCUUUUCAGGCAUAUUGGAUGAACCUCAUCCUCAUAUCAGUUUUCAUCAUCCCGCAUGUACUUGGUUGCUUCAAUUCGGUCAUCAGCUUUGGAGAUUCACUUACGGAUACAGGCAACUUAUACAACAGCUCCCCUAACAGAUCUCUCCACUACUUCCAACCGCCAUAUGGGGA
This 12813-nucleotide long non-coding RNA is filed under the name Prunus persica (peach). RNAcentral's name for it is "long non-coding RNA (PPER_LNC003984)". Lineage: Eukaryota; Viridiplantae; Streptophyta; Magnoliopsida; Rosales; Rosaceae. The record is from RNAcentral.